UUUGUAUUGUAGAACAACUAUCAUCCAGUUUAAAUGAGAUAAAGGAUAUUUUAAAUUUCCUAAUAUAUUGAAAAACGUAUAAGUAACAUUUCAAGAAAAAAACAUGCAUAUUAGAAUUUGAAAUUUCUAGAAAACACUUAAUGCUCUCUGUAUUACUAAUUGCAGAAAUUAAUAAAAAAAAUUAGCUGUCAUCAAAAAAAGUUCCAUUAUCUAUUUGUUAAACAAACAAUUUUAUAUCGUUUUGAAUUUCUUACGUCUUUUACGUAUGUAUUUCAAGAAUGAAUAUCGUUGCAUAGGCGAAUCAUAAUAUAUGUAUAAUCUGAAGCAAAUUUUUCAAAAAUUAAUGUCAUCUAAUAUUGUUCAUUAAAAAUUUAUGAACAAAUUUAAAAUACGUAAUUUUGUAGCGUAAUAUAGACAGCCCUGAUAGUGUAUCAUCUUAGCUUGGCAACUGAAUAUAUAUUCAACAUUAAUUUUAUAUGUACUUUCUCAGGCAUUGUUCUGAGUUUCAAUAGAUUUGACAUUAUGUGCUACUUUUUAAGAAAUGCUUUUUUACAUAACAGAUAUUAAUAAUCACUGGAUUUAUGUACCAAAUCUCUAUUAUGAAACAAUCCGUAUGUUUGGCAACAAACAGCACGUUGAUCUAUUACGCACGCGCAAUCGGCAGCUUGUUACAUUGACUUCUAGGAGUCUUCCUAUCAUUGUAAGCGAAAUGUCGUUCCACAAAAUUCUGUAUUUAUCGUUCGCUGACAUAUCUCAAGAGAAGUAAGCAAAAAGAGCAGUACAAAAAUGUUUGCAUGGGGCGUGGUAAAGGAGUUGAUAUUAAGUAUAUUUUGUAUGCUGCCUUGUAAGAGUCUGAUGACCUGCGUAAAACUCACUUGUCGAUUCGCAGUGUCGCGAAGAAUCUUCCCGCUUUGCUACGAUGAGGUGAAUAUGAACGCAAUAGCCGAGUUGUUCCGACAUCGUCCGAACGAACGAAAUUUCGUUUAUCGUUACUGUAGUACUGACGAACAUCGUCAGUACUAGCGUAUGCGGAACUGGUACUGGACGAAGGGUGUCUCGAUUUAACCUAAGGCAACAAAAUAUCACAGAAACUAAGAUUUAUCGGAAGAAAUGCUUUAAACAAAAGUUAUAGAGUUUGGUGGGAGACAUUUGUUGUCGACCUUGUCUUGGGUCAAGGUCGUUCAGCUGUAUCACGGUCAGCUUAGUUUUCCUAAACGGAAACCCUCAUCUUUUAUUGUGGAUUUCGAUCAUUAACCUUCGCGCGGCCGAUCGUCUAGCGGAUAAAUGCAGCGUCUAUUCCGAGUAUGCAAAGAAAUUGCUAUUUAUGCAGAAAUGUCCGCUAUAACAUCCACAGUCUGGAUUUAACGUGCAUGCAUAUCUGGAUUGAUAAAUUCUGAGAAUUCAAUUGAGCUCACGCCGAGACUCCAUUUCCAAGAAUUAGCGGGAAUAUUCGGAAGCUAAAUUCGGCAACAGGUAAAAUGGACGAAAGUCGAAACGUUAAAGCGGAACUUCUGUAUCUCGCUAAAGCGAGACUUUUGUAUCCUAUCUUCCCGCGCGGACGCACAGACAUUGUCCCAUCGCUCUGUAGUUGAAACAGGAGAGUAGGAGAAGCGAGAGAACUUUUAUUGUCGUUACUUCGAGACAACUAUCAACGGAUCUGUUUAGACUCUGUAUUUGUUCUUCGAGGGAUAUUGAAAUCAUACGUUGGCGAAAUCAAUGAACGAGGUUUGCGUACAAGAACAAGCAGUCAACUACCGGUGAUGUACCAGCGAGCAAGUUAUUAUUGAUCCCAACGCCAGCAAAGCUUCGCUGAGUCUUCGUUGCAAUGGCGGGAAUGGAAAGAAAGAGCCAGUUCCGCUACCGGACGGUCUUCGCGAUCCUGCUGCGCUCGGUGUCCUUGCUUGAAUCUCCUGAAUUAGAAUCCAUUGUCAGCAGCGAUCGUUUCCGAAUAUUAAAUUCGGGUAAAAAGAAUUUAUGGGUGACUUGGAUUAUUCGUUCGCUAAACAGAAGAGAUUGAAAAGAAAAAUUGAAAGAAAAGAAUACGCUACGGUAUUGAAGUAUAUUGCUCUCUGUAGUUAAAAUGUCUUAUGCUAUAUUUUUUCAUGUUUCAAGAUAUGUUGAAAUAUAUUUAAGAUUCUCCGUGUCUUUUAUCUUCCAAAUUACAUGCUGAGUAAAUUAUGAAAAGUUGGAAAUUGCGGAAAACAAUUGAAAAAUCUUCUUCAAUUCGUAUAUAAUAAAUAUUCAUAGAAAUACUUGAGAAUCGGUGAAUUACGAUUUUCCAAAGGUAGCCAGAUUGAAUAAAUCUUCUACUACUGUUACUUUGAAUAAUUCUCUUAUUAUUCAUUAUGAAGGAGAAAUUCAGGAAAGGGUUGAAUAAUUCUAAGAACUUUUUCUACAAAGUGGAAUUUCAGACUUAUUAAUCUAUUGUAUUAAAAAGAUGUGCAUUUUUUCAUCAUAAAAUAUCAUGGAAGAGAAGAUUGCAAUAGAUUCUCUGUAGCAAAGUUAUGAAAUGAAGUUUUACUGACCUCCAAGGGGAUUAUAUUUGCAUAGAUUUACUAUGAUAGAAUCUCGAACAUUCGUUGAUCGACUGUGAUCCUUUUGGCCAUCAUAUGUACCGCAAGAAAUGUUUCUUUAGAAAGAAAAAUUCAUUGAAAGUGACUUGAACAACGGCGCAUACAUAUCUGGCAGCUAUGUAAUUGAGUCAAUAAUUAUAUAGAAAAUGUUAUUUCUUACACAAUUAUGUCGAGUAACAGUAGUCUUUAAGCAUGUAAAUUGCAUCUACCGAUACAUUCUAGAACACGAAUUCGCUGUACUUUAUAGUAUUUCUUUCAUUCUACUUUCUUCAAAUUUUCAAUGGUCAAAUAUUUUCGUGAUUCACUAUAUUUAGGUACAUAUUAAAAGUUGAUAGUUCUAAUGUCUCAAAUAUCUCAAAAUAAAUAUAAAAAGAAAAAAAAAUAUUUAUCAAGGAAGAAAUUUUCUAGAAAAAUUCCAAACUAACUGCAAAAUUAUUUCAAAUCGUUGAUUAUUA
Molecule: long non-coding RNA, 3028 nt
Organism: Bombus pyrosoma
Lineage: Eukaryota; Metazoa; Arthropoda; Insecta; Hymenoptera; Apidae
Exons: 6
Source: RefSeq, a predicted model, not a curated record